Molecule: ribosomal RNA, 302 nt
Filed under: uncultured bacterium
Lineage: Bacteria
Description: partial 16S ribosomal RNA
Rfam family: Bacterial small subunit ribosomal RNA
Source: RNAcentral
GCAGUCGCCGCGGGAAUACGUAGGGUGCGAGCGUUAAUCGGAAUUACUGGGCGUAAAGCGCGCGUAGGUGGUUUGUUAAGUUGGAUGUGAAAUCCCCGGGCUCAACCUGGGAACUGCAUCCAAAACUGGCAAGCUAGAGUAUGGUAGAGGGUGGUGGAAUUUCCUGUGUAGCGGUGAAAUGCGUAGAUAUAGGAAGGAACAUCAGUGGCGAAGGCGACCACCUGGACUGAUACUGACACUGAGGUGCGAAAGCGUGGGGAGCAAACAGGAUUAGAUACCCGUGUAGUCCCUGUCUCUUAUAC